AGCCGCUGAUGAUUCCCACUAUACUUUUCUGACAUCUCCUAUGAAUGCUGCUAAGCAGCUGAUUAUAAAUUGAAAUCUGAGGCUC
Molecule: small nucleolar RNA, 85 nt
Organism: Myxocyprinus asiaticus (Chinese sucker)
Lineage: Eukaryota; Metazoa; Chordata; Actinopteri; Cypriniformes; Catostomidae
Product: small nucleolar RNA SNORD60
Exons: 1
Source: RefSeq, a predicted model, not a curated record